This is a non-coding RNA of Mycena latifolia, 93 nucleotides long. Lineage: Eukaryota; Fungi; Basidiomycota; Agaricomycetes; Agaricales; Mycenaceae. The record is from the annotation of a GenBank genome assembly.
GGCUCGGUGGUGGAAUGGUCCACAUCUACAUUAAAUGUACCAUUGUGAGUAAAGUUUAUGCAGAAGCAGCCCGUUCGACUCGGGUCUGAGCCA